GGUCGUGGCUCAGUUGUAGAGCACUUGCCUUGCACGUGUGAGACACUGGGUUCAAUUCCCAGCACCA
This 67-nucleotide transfer RNA is filed under the name Marmota monax (woodchuck). It matches the Rfam family "tRNA". From Rfam's summary of the family: Transfer RNA (tRNA) molecules are approximately 80 nucleotides in length. Their secondary structure includes four short double-helical elements and three loops (D, anti-codon, and T loops). Lineage: Eukaryota; Metazoa; Chordata; Mammalia; Rodentia; Sciuridae. The record is from Rfam by way of RNAcentral.